UGUAAUAGGAAUUGUCAUUCAUUUGGCGUCGUUAGAGCACAUCGGUGGAAGGCCGUACAGAGAGGCCAUACUAAUGGAUUCCAGGUGGGAUAUAAUCGUCGUGGGUAUAUGGCCUGAACUGUUGCAAAGAAAUGCUUUUACGGUGGGUGUUAGCUAGAGAAAACAAGAGCAUAAUUAUCGGAACUAUGCUGCGCCGUAACAAGCUACACAGAUGCUUGCAAACCUCGGACCAUAGCACUGUUGAAUUCGAUCCAGAUCAUCACACCACACAACGGUUGCAGACAAUUCGGCGCUCCAUGAUCCAAAAUCCGAGGAGUGCUUUAAUCAACAAUUAUCUAGAGAGGAGACGGGCUUAUCUGGCAACAGUGGUACCGGAUGUGUAGUGUGAUAGCUUGUUACAUUAUAGGAUUUGAAGUUAUGUGUCAACUAAAGAUGGUCACAAUUAUUUGUAUUUCGCCAUUUAUGUUAUCAAACCCUCGCAGUCAGAAAUAAUGUAUGUUAUUAUUCCUUGUAAGAUAUCAAAAACAGCA
Zea mays is the source of this 530-nucleotide long non-coding RNA. RefSeq lists it as uncharacterized. The transcript has 4 exons. The record is from RefSeq and is a predicted model, not a curated record. Lineage: Eukaryota; Viridiplantae; Streptophyta; Magnoliopsida; Poales; Poaceae.